RNAcentral lists this long non-coding RNA (893 nucleotides) under Marmota monax (woodchuck). Lineage: Eukaryota; Metazoa; Chordata; Mammalia; Rodentia; Sciuridae. The record is from RNAcentral.
UACUAAAUUACAUUUGGGCAAUUUUAGCUGAUUCUUUCAUGUAAAAGGUACCAACAUUAAUUAUAGAUCUGGUUGAACACGGAAAGUUAUCAUCUUCCCUUUCAAGCACUAUGAGUGGAUGAAAAUUAUCAUUCAAUUUUCUCACCUAACCAUUUCACGUGAGCUAACACAGAGGUCCAACACUGUUGCACAGAAGGCUAACAGACUAUUUGCAUCAAGGAUACUUAACCUGUGCAGUUAGCAAGAACUAGCCAUUUAAAAAUAUAUUCAACUGUUUUAUAAAUAAAAAUUUUGAUUACUAUAGUUUUGUUCGAACUACUAUCUUUUAAAAUAAAUUAGAUUUUAUUUGAAUUUUUAAAAUAAUGUUAUAAGUUAGAUGUUGCUUUGUUGAUUCUGUGAUUCAAUGUACACUCAGCCAUAUUCCUGUGGGAAAAUAUAAAUCCUAUUGACUUUCUUGGCAUAAGCCAGAGAUUCAUAGUUUCUCUAAGGACUUUAGGUAUGAAGAAAAAAAUAUUAAAAACCACCAAAAUGAAAUGCUAGUGAAGAAAUUAGAAGCCUACUGUAUAAAAUGUAUUUUUAAAAACUUAAGAUAUAUGUGACUUACACUGCCUGUUAAUCUAGUCUCUUUGUGAAAUAACCACAGCAUACUAUUUGUUAAGACUCUGAAACACCAAAUAUUUGUGAUGUUUGUAUAGUACCAUUGUUAUAAUAUGUGAUUUCAAAUGGUAAACAUCUUUGUCAUAAUCACGUGAACCCACCGAAGAAUAAAUUCCUGCUGUUAUGUAAAACCAACUCUCAGAAUUCAGAUUCCCUGCAGCUGCUGUGUCACCAAUAAAUGAGAAUUAAUUGUGAAAAACAGUUUCUAAAGAAUUGAGUUUAUGAUCACUGUGCAU